Molecule: ribosomal RNA, 462 nt
Filed under: Thermothelomyces thermophilus
Lineage: Eukaryota; Fungi; Ascomycota; Sordariomycetes; Sordariales; Chaetomiaceae
Description: eukaryotic LSU rRNA
Rfam family: Eukaryotic large subunit ribosomal RNA
Source: RNAcentral
GCGGAGGAAAAGAAACCAACAGGGAUUGCCCUAGUAACGGCGAGUGAAGCGGCAACAGCUCAAAUUUGAAAUCUGGCUUCGGCCCGAGUUGUAAUUUGCAGAGGAAGCUUUAGGCGCGGCACCUUCUGAGUCCCCUGGAACGGGGCGCCAUAGAGGGUGAGAGCCCCGUAUAGUUGGAUGCCUAGCCUGUGUAAAGCUCCUUCGACGAGUCGAGUAGUUUGGGAAUGCUGCUCAAAAUGGGAGGUAAAUUUCUUCUAAAGCUAAAUACCGGCCAGAGACCGAUAGCGCACAAGUAGAGUGAUCGAAAGAUGAAAAGCACUUUGAAAAGAGGGUUAAAUAGCACGUGAAAUUGUUGAAAGGGAAGCGCUUGUGACCAGACUUGCGCCGGGCUGAUCAUCCGGUGUUCUCACCGGUGCACUCUGCCCGGCUCAGGCCAGCAUCGGUUCUCGCGGGGGGAUAAAG